CGGCCGCGGUAUCUUGACCGUGCAAAGGUAGCAUAAUCACUUGUCUCUUAAAUGGGGACCCGUAUGAAUGGCUUUUCAUCCUUUAACUGUCUCCCUUUUUUUCCACACAAACUUCUAUUUACGUGAAGAAGCGUACUUCAGAGAGAAAGACGAGAAGACCCUGUCGAGCUUUAGCCUACCCUACUCAAUUACACUCACCCUUCCCCAGGAAAAAACCUCUGUAGGCCAGGCUUUGGUUGGGGCAACCAUGGAGAAAAAACAUCCUCCAGUUUUCUAGGAAGAGAAUCAACUCUCCUUCCCCAUUUUUGAGAACCAAUACUUUUGGAAAACGGAAAAAGUUACCGCAGGGAUAACAGCGUUAUCUUUUCUAAGAGCCCUUAUUGACGAAAAGGAUUGCGACCUCGAUGUUGGAUUGGGGUAACCAAAGGGUGCAGCAGCUCU
RNAcentral lists this ribosomal RNA (441 nucleotides) under Stichopus monotuberculatus. Its description in RNAcentral is "partial 16S ribosomal RNA". It matches the Rfam family "Bacterial large subunit ribosomal RNA", at positions 1928 to 2565 of the family's 2925-position model. The record is from RNAcentral. Lineage: Eukaryota; Metazoa; Echinodermata; Holothuroidea; Aspidochirotida; Stichopodidae.